UAAACAGAAUCCGUAUACAAAAUGAUUUAAAUAACUAAGGAAAAACAUAAAACUAUCUUCCCGUGACAGCCUGGGACGCCACCAUAGACCAAUCGGCAAUCUUCAAGUCUUCAUCCCGCGUCAUCAGCAGAUUCUUCACCGCAAUCACAGGCAGAGGUUAAUGCUGGCCAUCGGCACAGACAUAUCACCAUCCAUGGACUUAGCCACAUCCAGCCGUCUCCUCAUCGGCAACUCUCCUGCAGACCAGCUACCUUUGCCCAGUCCUGCCGAUCUAUACUCUACCGAUCCUGGACACGCGCCCAAAAACGGUGUCAACACCCGUCGAGCAGAAGCCACAUCCCGGAGGAGUCCUCACACAUCAGGCAGCUUGGCCUCACGAUUUGCAACUGCUCCGAGGACAGGUCCUUCAUCGUCCGUCCAUUCGUUUUGCUAUGCAAUUUAGGCUGCAGACAUUCUUAGACCAGCCACCAACCUGGUCUAUCAACACGAUCAACUAAAUAUCAAAUCUGAGCCACGUCCACGACAGUCAGACGCCUCCUCCUUGUCCUUCCCGACUGCCUCCCCAUUCUCCCUGAUGAUGCCGGAGGCCUACCCCUGCCUCGUCACGCUCACGCCACCGCCCUCCGUCGUCCUGCAUCUCGCUGCCUUGUGCUGCCGCCGCACGCCAGGUGCUCAGAUCUUCGUCGGGCCCUUUGUCGGAGACGAGCACCCAACAAGUCAAUGAUAGUGGGCACUUCUAUGGCAUGGCUGAGAUGGUUGGAACUAUUGAUUUUCAAAAGGACAUGGACUUCUGGCGUGAGGAUAAAUAUCACACUGCAGAAUAAUUAAAAAAAGACUGUCACACAGCAGAUAUACACAAGAAGUAAGUUGGCAUGUCCUAUUUUGCAUCGAACUUAUUUUAGUACUGUUAAAUUGUUAGAUUUUAGGAAGUAGUUUUUUACUUCUCUCCAGCAUUUCAGGAAACCUAUUAAAUUAUUUGUUUGGGUGGCAUAAACAAAGAUAUUUUUUAGUCCAUAGAAAAGUUUUGGAUUUGUUCGAAAAAGCAUAUUUGGUAGCUUUUGAAACCAUUGGCAUAUUGCAAGGUUUUCUUCAGCCUCAGCAGCCUAUGCUGUCCAAAAUCAAGAGUCGAGAGCAACUACGCCAUAUCGGAUAUCUGCAACAGUAGAGAAGAUGGUGCUUGAUGUUUGAAUAUCUAAUAUAAAUGGUAGAGAGGAUCUCACUGACCGAUGUAUCUUGAGUCCACUAGACAUCUAGAUAAAGCAUCAGCUAAUUGGAAGCUCUAAGGCCACCAUCUGAAGAUAGUAGAGCUUGAAAACCUGAAGCCUUCUUGCUGCCUAGCCAUGUGCUCCUCUCUGG
Sorghum bicolor (sorghum) is the source of this 1356-nucleotide long non-coding RNA. RefSeq lists it as uncharacterized. The record is from RefSeq and is a predicted model, not a curated record. The transcript is spliced from 4 exons. NCBI's taxonomy places the organism in Eukaryota, Viridiplantae, Streptophyta, Magnoliopsida, Poales, Poaceae.